Molecule: long non-coding RNA, 421 nt
Filed under: Equus caballus (horse)
Lineage: Eukaryota; Metazoa; Chordata; Mammalia; Perissodactyla; Equidae
Description: lncRNA (ENSECAG00000044411.1)
Source: RNAcentral
AAAUCAUAGAGACAGAACGCAGGUUGGUGGUUUCAAGGGACUGUAGGAGAGAAUGAGAAGAAGCUGCUUAGUGGGGAAGUUUGUGCAUCACGCAAAACUGGAACACACUCACUAGAAAGCCUGAAACUCUGUUGAUACUUACACCAAGGACAUCCAUCUUCCCCCGCCCCAUUUCCCCGCUAUCUACAGCCCCUUGAUAGCCUCAAGUCUCCACUAUGGUCUUUAAAGCAAUUCUCCUGGGUCGGGGAGCCUAUCUGAAUUUCCACCUCAAUCAAGAGUGACCUCCUGUAAGGAAUACAGGCUCACUCUGAAGAGUCAUGGAUCUCCAGCCUCAAAAAUGACAACUACAGUCCUGAUUGACCGUUGAUUCUCAAAGACGAGAUGUUAAGAUUAAAUAUUUUGGAGCAUGUCAGAGGAAAUC